RNAcentral lists this ribosomal RNA (295 nucleotides) under uncultured bacterium. RNAcentral describes it as "partial 16S ribosomal RNA". It matches the Rfam family "Bacterial small subunit ribosomal RNA", at positions 28 to 334 of the family's 1533-position model. The record is from RNAcentral.
GAUGAACGCUGGCGGCGUGCCUAACACAUGCAAGUCGAGCGAACCCUUCGGGGUGAGCGGCGGACGGGUGAGUAACGCGUGGGUAACCUGCCCUGUACACACGGAUAACAUACCGAAAGGUAUGCUAAUACGAGAUAAUAUAUUUUAAUCGCAUGGUUAAGAUAUCAAAGCUCCGGCGGUACAGGAUGGACCCGCGUCUGAUUAGCUAGUUGGUGAGGUAAUGGCUCACCAAGGCGACGAUCAGUAGCCGACCUGAGAGGGUGAUCGGCCACACUGGAACUGAGACACGGUCCAG